Non-coding RNA from Nomascus leucogenys (northern white-cheeked gibbon), 117 nucleotides. The record is from Rfam. Lineage: Eukaryota; Metazoa; Chordata; Mammalia; Primates; Hylobatidae.
UUUAGCAGCACAUAUACUAAAAAAAAAAAAAAAAAUUGGAACGAUACAGAGAAGAUUAGUGUGGCCCCUGUGCAAGGGUGACACACCAAUUCAUGAAGUAUUCCAUAAAAUAUUUUU